This 253-nucleotide ribosomal RNA is filed under the name uncultured bacterium. Its description in RNAcentral is "partial 16S ribosomal RNA". It matches the Rfam family "Bacterial small subunit ribosomal RNA", at positions 524 to 776 of the family's 1533-position model. The record is from RNAcentral.
UACGUAGGGGGCAAGCGUUGUCCGGAAUCAUUGGGCGUAAAGAGCGUGUAAGCGGCUUGGUAAGUCCGCUGUGAAAGUCCAGGGCUCAACCCUGGAAUGCCGGUGGAAACUGUCAGGCUCGAGUCCGGAAGAGGCGAGUGGAAUUCCUGGUGUAGCGGUGAAAUGCGCAGAUAUCAGGAGGAACACCAAUGGCGAAGGCAGCUCGCUGGGACGGUACUGACGCUGAGACGCGAAAGCGUGGGGAGCAAACAGG